GUGGGGAAUAUUGCACAAUGGGGGAAACCCUGAUGCAGCGACGCCGCGUGAGCGAUGAAGUAUUUCGGUAUGUAAAGCUCUAUCAGCAGGGAAGAAAAUGACGGUACCUGACUAAGAAGCACCGGCUAAAUACGUGCCAGCAGCCGCGGUAAUACGUAUGGUGCAAGCGUUAUCCGGAUUUACUGGGUGUAAAGGGAGCGUAGACGGAGUGGCAAGUCUGAUGUGAAAACCCGGGGCUCAACCCCGGGACUGCAUUGGAAACUGUCAAUCUAGAGUACCGGAGAGGUAAGCGGAAUUCCUAGGGUAGCGGUGAAAUGCGUAGAUAUUAGGAGGAACACCAGUGGCGAAGGCGGCUUACUGGACGGUAACUGACGUUGAGGCUCGAAAGCGUGGGGAGCAAACAGG
This 405-nucleotide ribosomal RNA is filed under the name uncultured Lachnospiraceae bacterium. Its description in RNAcentral is "bacterial SSU rRNA". It matches the Rfam family "Bacterial small subunit ribosomal RNA", at positions 354 to 776 of the family's 1533-position model. Lineage: Bacteria; Bacillati; Bacillota; Clostridia; Lachnospirales; Lachnospiraceae. The record is from RNAcentral.